This 26-nucleotide ribosomal RNA is filed under the name Lodderomyces parapsilosis. RNAcentral's name for it is "Candida parapsilosis partial 18S ribosomal RNA". Lineage: Eukaryota; Fungi; Ascomycota; Pichiomycetes; Serinales; Debaryomycetaceae. The record is from RNAcentral.
GGGGGGAACCUGCGGAAGGAUCAUUA